GUAGCUUCUCUUAACCACUAUCUGUCCCAAAACUAAAAGUGUAGCUUCUCUUAACCACUAUCUGUCCCAAAACUAAAAGUGUAGCUUCUCUUAACCACUAUCUGUCCCAAAACUAAAAGUGUAGCUUCUCUUAACCACUAUCUGUCCCACAUUUAAAGCUGGUGGUUCAACUUGGAGUAGUUUCUGUUUGGACUAUCUGAAUGGUUGGCGAUGUUUUGACUUUCGAGAUUGGAGGGUCAGGAAAAGCCAAAAAGUGAAUCUCAGCACCAAAAACAUUUGCGACACUCUUGGCUGUCUGUGUUGAGGUGCAGUACACAGAUUGGACUGCCAGAUGGGGGUGUUGUGUCGGCGGUAGUGAGUGGUUUACCCCUCUAUCACUGAGAUUCUCUGCUGUUGGCUAGACAAUGAAAUGUUCCACGUUUACAGAAGGAAGUUGUGGGCAGCGCUAGCUCCGAGCUAGUGUAGCAUGAUGCUAACGCUGCAUGAUAUAAUAGCUAAGAUACUAAUCCCCUGAUCUGCGGCUGGGGGAUACAUUCAUUGGAUGGAUGGAUGGAUGGAUGGAUGGAUGGAUGGAUUGAUGGAUGGACGAACAGAGAGCGUUAAUGAAAGAGGGAUGAUGUGGAAAUAACGUCACAGACACAGCAAGCUAUCAUUGGUCAGGAUGAGUUAUUGACCUCUGACCCCUGUAGUCAUCCAAUUGACAUCCUGCGCUGGUGUGGGGGCAGGGUCUGCCCAUAUGUGGACUAUAAUCAACUCUGUGUGUGUGAUGCACUGCUCCGGCCGUGGUUUUCUAGGAACCACGCAACAAACACAGACAAGUACAGUACGCUCUCUCUCUCUCUGUCUCUGUCUCUGUCUGUCUCUGUCUCUCUCUCUCUCUCUCUCUCUCUGUCUCUGUCUCUCUGUCUCUCUCUCUCUCUCUCUGUCUGUCUCUGUCUCUGUCUGUCUCUGUCUCUCUCUCUCUCUCUCUCUCUCUCUCUCUCUCUCUCUCUCUCUCUCUAACUCUCUAACUCUCUCUCUCUGUUGGUUUUAGGGCCAGUCUAGUUCCCUGUAGUAUUGGCUAAGGAUGUGUCUCAAAUGGCAGCCUAUUCCCUAUAUAGUGCACUACGUUUGACCAGAUCCCUAUGUGCCCUGGAUAAAAGUAGUGCACUAUGUAGGGUUCUACUUGGGAUGCUGAUUAAGUCAAUAAGUACCUAAAAUAAUCCUCUGCCUCCCUCCUGUUCAGUUGUCAUUAGAGAGAUGGGUUAGGAGACCAUAUACAGAUUCUAUAUUAUUAUUUAUUUUUAAAUCGCGUGUGUGUGUGUGUGUGUGUGUGUGUGUGUGUGUGUGUGUGUGUGUCAAGAAGAAACCAGCAGUCACAUCAUACCAACAUCUAUCUUCUGUAUGAAAACAAUCUAUUUCUUUACCACCUUGUUUGGUUUUUGCUUGUGAACUGGUCACAAGUUGGUCUAUGUCCCAAACCCUUCACCCUUUUCUAUAUGGGCUCUGGCCAAAAGUAGUGCACUAUAUAGGGAAUAGGUUACAUUUGGGAUGCAGACGUUAUCUGUACAUGUAGAAUAUUCUGUGGCUAUAAUAUUGUUAGUAUUAUUAAUCUGUAAAUGUAUUUCUAUGUUGUUGUCAUUUUACAUGACCUGUACUACUGACUAAAGGUGUCCCUGGACAGGAAGGAGGGAUGGAGAGGAGGAAGAGGCAUAGUGGAAGCAGGGGAAGUGUUUGAGAUGUUCUAGAAGUGAAAGACAUUUUGGAAUCUUUCUGUCCUCACCUUCCUCCCCCUUUUUCACCUCUCUUUCACCACUGACACUUGCUGCCUCUCUCUUCCUCUCCUUCCUCACCUCUCCUCCCUCUUCCUCACCUCUCCUCCCUCUUCCUCACCUCUCCUCCCUCUUCCUCACCUCUUGUCCCCCUUCCUCACCUCUCAUCCCUCUUCCUCACCUCUCAUCCCUCUUCCUCACCUCUCCUCCCUCUUCCUCACCUCUCCUCCCUCUUCCUCACCUCUUGUCCCCCUUCCUCACCUCUCAUCCCCCUUCCUCACCUCUCCUCCCCCUUCCUCACCUCUC
RNAcentral lists this long non-coding RNA (2057 nucleotides) under Salmo salar (Atlantic salmon). RNAcentral's name for it is "lncRNA (ENSSSAG00000091915.1)". The record is from RNAcentral. Lineage: Eukaryota; Metazoa; Chordata; Actinopteri; Salmoniformes; Salmonidae.